UCCUCGGUAGCUCAAUUGGCAGAGCAGCGGGCCGUUAACCCGCGCGUUGGAGGUUCGAGUCCUCCCCGGGGAGCCA
RNAcentral lists this transfer RNA (76 nucleotides) under Amycolatopsis japonica. RNAcentral's name for it is "tRNA-Asn (GTT) (tRNA-Asn-GTT-1-1)". It matches the Rfam family "tRNA". From Rfam's summary of the family: Transfer RNA (tRNA) molecules are approximately 80 nucleotides in length. Their secondary structure includes four short double-helical elements and three loops (D, anti-codon, and T loops). The record is from RNAcentral. Lineage: Bacteria; Bacillati; Actinomycetota; Actinomycetes; Pseudonocardiales; Pseudonocardiaceae.